AAACCAACAGGGAUUGCCCUAGUAACGGCGAGUGAAGCGGCAACAGCUCAAAUUUGAAAUCUGGCUUCGGCCCGAGUUGUAAUUUGCAGAGGAAGCUUUAGGCGCGGCACCUCCUGAGUCCCCUGGAACGGGGCGCCACAGAGGGUGAGAGCCCCGUAUAGUUGGAUGCCUAGCCUGUGUAAAGCUCCUUCGACGAGUCGAGUAGUUUGGGAAUGCUGCUCAAAAUGGGAGGUAAAUUUCUUCUAAAGCUAAAUACCGGCCAGAGACCGAUAGCGCACAAGUAGAGUGAUCGAAAGAUGAAAAGCACUUUGAAAAGAGGGUUAAAUAGCACGUGAAAUUGUUGAAAGGGAAGCGCUUGUGACCAGACUUGCGCCGGGCUGAUCAUCCGGUGUUCUCACCGGUGCACUCUGCCCGGCUCAGGCCAGCAUCGGUUCUCGCGGGGGGAUAAAGGCCCUGGGAACGUAGCUCCUCCGGGAGUGUUAUAGCCCGGGGCGCAAUGCCCUCGCGGGGACCGAGGUUCGCGCUCUGCAAGGAUGCUGGCGUAAUGGUCAUCAGCGACCCGUCUUGAAACACGGACCAAGGAGUCAAGGUUUUGCGCGAGUGUUUGGGUGUAAAACCCGCACGCGUAAUGAAAGUGAACGUAGGUGAGAGCUUCGGCGCAUCAUCGACCGAUCCUGAUGUUCUCGGAUGGAUUUGAGUAGGAGCGUUAAGCCUUGGACCCGAAAGAUGGUGAACUAUGCUUGGAUAGGGUGAAGCCAGAGGAAACUCUGGUGGAGGCUCGCAGCGGUUCUGACGUGCAAAUCGAUCGUCAAAUCUGAGCAUGGGGGGCGAAA
This 833-nucleotide ribosomal RNA is filed under the name Acrophialophora multiforma. Its description in RNAcentral is "partial large subunit ribosomal RNA". It matches the Rfam family "Eukaryotic large subunit ribosomal RNA", at positions 62 to 928 of the family's 3401-position model. Lineage: Eukaryota; Fungi; Ascomycota; Sordariomycetes; Sordariales; Chaetomiaceae. The record is from RNAcentral.